AGUGAACGCUGGCGGCAGGCCUAACACAUGCAAGUCGAACGGAAGCACAGUAAGAGCUUGCUCUUACGGGUGGCGAGUGGCGGACGGGUGAGGAAUACAUCGGAAUCUACUUUUUCGUGGGGGAUAACGUAGGGAAACUUACGCUAAUACCGCAUACGACCUACGGGGGAAAGCAGGGGAUCUUCGGACCUUGCGCGAUUGAAUGAGCCGAUGUCGGAUUAGCUAGUUGGCGGGGUAAAGGCCCACCAAGGCGACGAUCCGUAGCUGGUCUGAGAGGAUGAUCAGCCACAUGAGAACUGAGACACGGUCCAGACGACUACGGGAGGCAGCAGUGGGGAAUAUUGGACAAUGGGCGCAAGCCUGAUCCAGCCAUACCGCGUGGGUGAAGAAGGCCUUCGGGUUGUAAAGCCCUUUUGUUGGGAAAGAAAAGCAGCAGGUUAAUACCACGCUGUUCUGACGGUACCCAAAGAAUAAGCACCGGCUAACUUCGUG
RNAcentral lists this ribosomal RNA (492 nucleotides) under uncultured bacterium. RNAcentral describes it as "partial 16S ribosomal RNA". It matches the Rfam family "Bacterial small subunit ribosomal RNA", at positions 29 to 507 of the family's 1533-position model. The record is from RNAcentral.